This 75-nucleotide transfer RNA is filed under the name Deltaproteobacteria bacterium. RNAcentral's name for it is "tRNA-Thr". It matches the Rfam family "tRNA". From Rfam's summary of the family: Transfer RNA (tRNA) molecules are approximately 80 nucleotides in length. RNAcentral also lists the same sequence under 4 other names. The record is from RNAcentral. Lineage: Bacteria; Pseudomonadati; Myxococcota; Myxococcia.
GCCAGCGUAGCUCAGGGGUAGAGCAGCUGAUUCGUAAUCAGCAGGUCGCGGGUUCGAAUCCCACCGCUGGCUCCA